GACGAACGCUGGCGGCGUGCCUAAUACAUGCAAGUCGAACGAGAGCGACCGGUGCUUGCACUGGUCAAUCUAGUGGCGAACGGGUGAGUAACACGUGGGUAACCUGCCCAUCAGAGGGGGAUAACAUCCGGAAACGGAUGCUAAAACCGCAUAGGUCUUCGAGCCGCAUGGCUUGAAGAGGAAAAGAGGCGCAAGCUUCUGCUGAUGGAUGGACCCGCGGUGCAUUAGCUAGUUGGUGAGGUAACGGCUCACCAAGGCCGUGAUGCAUAGCCGACCUGAGAGGGUGAUCGGCCACAUUGGGACUGAGACACGGCCCAAACUCCUACGGGAGGCAGCAGUCGGGAAUCUUCCGCAAUGGACGCAAGUCUGACGGAGCAACGCCGCGUGAGUGAAGAAGGUUUUCGGACCGUAAAACUCUGUUGUUAGAGAAGAACAAGUGCUAGAGUAACUGUUAGCGCCUUGACGGUAUCUAACCAGAAAGCCACGGCUAACUACGUG
This 498-nucleotide ribosomal RNA is filed under the name uncultured bacterium. RNAcentral describes it as "partial 16S ribosomal RNA". It matches the Rfam family "Bacterial small subunit ribosomal RNA", at positions 28 to 507 of the family's 1533-position model. The record is from RNAcentral.